CUUAGACGUGCACGUCGAGAGGUACAGGGGGUGCUUGCACCCCGCUGACGAGCGGCGGACGGGUGAGUAAUGCAUAGGAAUCUGCCCAGUAGUGGGGGAUAGCCCGGGGAAACCCGGAUUAAUACCGCAUACGCCCUUUGGGGGAAAGCAGGGGAUCUUCGGACCUUGCGCUAUUGGAUGAGCCUAUGUCGGAUUAGCUAGUUGGUGGGGUAAAGGCCUACCAAGGCGACGAUCCGUAGCUGGUCUGAGAGGAUGAUCAGCCACAUCGGGACUGAGACACGGCCCGAACUCCUACGGGAGGCAGCAGUGGGGAAUAUUGGACAAUGGGGGCAACCCUGAUCCAGCCAUGCCGCGUGUGUGAAGAAGGCUUUCGGGUUGUAAAGCACUUUCAGUGAGGAGGAAAACCUUCUGGUUAAUACCCAUGAGGCUUGACGUUACUCACAGAAGAAGCACCGGCUAACUCCGUGCCAGCAGCCGCGGUAAUACGGAGGGUGCAAGCGUUAAUCGGAAUUACUGGGCGUAAAGCGCGCGUAGGUGGUUUGAUAAGCGAGAUGUGAAAGCCCCGGGCUUAACCUGGGAACGGCAUUUCG
RNAcentral lists this ribosomal RNA (590 nucleotides) under Marinobacter sp. RNAcentral's name for it is "bacterial SSU rRNA". It matches the Rfam family "Bacterial small subunit ribosomal RNA", at positions 48 to 630 of the family's 1533-position model. Lineage: Bacteria; Pseudomonadati; Pseudomonadota; Gammaproteobacteria; Pseudomonadales; Marinobacteraceae. The record is from RNAcentral.